UACGUAGGGCGCAAGCGUUAUCCGGAAUUAUUGGGCGUAAAGAGCUCGUAGGCGGUUUGUCGCGUCUGCUGUGAAAGUCCGGGGCUCAACUCCGGAUCUGCGGUGGGUACGGGCAGACUAGAGUGAUGUAGGGGGAGACUGGAGUUCCUGGUGUAGCGGUGAAAUGCGCAGAUAUCAGGAGGAACACCGAUGGCGAAGGCAGGUCUCUGGGCAUUAACUGACGCUGAGAAGCGAAAGCAUGGGGAGCGAACAGG
This 254-nucleotide ribosomal RNA is filed under the name uncultured bacterium. Its description in RNAcentral is "partial 16S ribosomal RNA". It matches the Rfam family "Bacterial small subunit ribosomal RNA", at positions 524 to 776 of the family's 1533-position model. The record is from RNAcentral.